Molecule: microRNA precursor, 93 nt
Filed under: Notamacropus eugenii (tammar wallaby)
Lineage: Eukaryota; Metazoa; Chordata; Mammalia; Diprotodontia; Macropodidae
Description: miRNA (ENSMEUG00000017110.1)
Source: RNAcentral
UCUCUUUGUACGUAUCUGUGUGUAUGUGUAUGUAUAUAUGUAUAUGUACACACACACACACACACACAUACACACACACACACACACAUAUAU